Molecule: long non-coding RNA, 359 nt
Filed under: Helianthus annuus (common sunflower)
Lineage: Eukaryota; Viridiplantae; Streptophyta; Magnoliopsida; Asterales; Asteraceae
Description: sRNA HanXRQr2_Chr09g0406421
Source: RNAcentral
CUCCCUACCCAUGGCCCCCCUACUGGCCCAAUCCGCCACAAUACCCUUCGGCCCACCAGUACUCCUACGGCCCACCUCAGCAGCCCAACACUUGGCCUGCUCCCCCUUGCCCCUACCCAUCUACUAACCGGCCCAACCCUCCUCCUUCUCCACAGUCGCAAGCCGGCCUCCUUGGCCCACGUCCUCAUCAGGCUCACACGGCAUACAGCCCGACAGACAUCGAGCAGGCACUAUAUACCAUGUCGUUGCAACAACCAGACCCCACUCAGUAUAUGGAUACCGGCGCCACUGGCAACAUGUCUCACGAGCAAGGAUCUCAAGACCAAGAUGCCGCUCCUUCGAUGCAACAGCAGCGGUGA